This 1167-nucleotide ribosomal RNA is filed under the name Salmonella enterica subsp. enterica serovar Enteritidis. Its description in RNAcentral is "partial 23S ribosomal RNA". It matches the Rfam family "Bacterial large subunit ribosomal RNA", at positions 61 to 1269 of the family's 2925-position model. Lineage: Bacteria; Pseudomonadati; Pseudomonadota; Gammaproteobacteria; Enterobacterales; Enterobacteriaceae. The record is from RNAcentral.
CUAAUCUGCGAUAAGCGCCGGUAAGGUGAUAUGAACCGUUAUAACCGGCGAUACCCGAAUGGGGAAACCCAGUGUGACUCGUCACACUAUCAUUAACUGAAUCCAUAGGUUAAUGAGGCGAACCGGGGGAACUGAAACAUCUAAGUACCCCGAGGAAAAGAAAUCAACCGAGAUUCCCCCAGUAGCGGCGAGCGAACGGGGAGGAGCCCAGAGCCUGAAUCAGCAUGUGUGUUAGUGGAAGCGUCUGGAAAGGCGCGCGAUACAGGGUGACAGCCCCGUACACAAAAGCGCAUGUGCUGUGAGCUCGAUGAGUAGGGCGGGACACGUGGUAUCCUGUCUGAAUAUGGGGGGACCAUCCUCCAAGGCUAAAUACUCCUGACUGACCGAUAGUGAACCAGUACCGUGAGGGAAAGGCGAAAAGAACCCCGGCGAGGGGAGUGAAAAAGAACCUGAAACCGUGUACGUACAAGCAGUGGGAGCACCCUUUGGGUGUGACUGCGUACCUUUUGUAUAAUGGGUCAGCGACUUAUAUUCUGUAGCAAGGUUAACCGAAUAGGGGAGCCGGAGGGAAACCGAGUCUUAAUUGGGCGUUAAGUUGCAGGGUAUAGACCCGAAACCCGGUGAUCUAGCCAUGGGCAGGUUGAAGGUUGGGUAACACUAACUGGAGGACCGAACCGACUAAUGUUGAAAAAUUAGCGGAUGACCUGUGGCUGGGGGUGAAAGGCCAAUCAAACCGGGAGAUAGCUGGUUCUCCCCGAAAGCUAUUUAGGUAGCGCCUCGUGAAUUCAUCUCCGGGGGUAGAGCACUGUUUCGGCUAGGGGGCCAUCCCGGCUUACCAACCCGAUGCAAACUGCGAAUACCGGAGAAUGUUAUCACGGGAGACACACGGCGGGUGCUAACGUCCGUCGUGAAGAGGGAAACAACCCAGACCGCCAGCUAAGGUCCCAAAGUCAUGGUUAAGUGGGAAACGAUGUGGGAAGGCCCAGACAGCCAGGAUGUUGGCUUAGAAGCAGCCAUCAUUUAAAGAAAGCGUAAUAGCUCACUGGUCGAGUCGGCCUGCGCGGAAGAUGUAACGGGGCUAAACCAUGCACCGAAGCUGCGGCAGCGACACUGUGUGUUGUUGGGUAGGGGAGCGUUCUGUAAGCCUGUGAAGGUGUGUCGUGAGGC